This 253-nucleotide ribosomal RNA is filed under the name uncultured bacterium. Its description in RNAcentral is "partial 16S ribosomal RNA". It matches the Rfam family "Bacterial small subunit ribosomal RNA", at positions 524 to 776 of the family's 1533-position model. The record is from RNAcentral.
UACGUAGGCAGCGAGCGUUGUUCGGAGUUAUUGGGCGUAAAGAGCUCGUAGGCGGCUUGUCGCGUCGUUCGUGAAAACCCACAGCUCAACUGUGGGCUUGCGGUCGAUACGGGCAGGCUGGAGUUCGGUAGGGGAGACUGGAAUUCCUGGUGUAGCGGUGAAAUGCGUAGAUAUCUGGAGGAACACCGGUGGCGAAGGCGGCAUCCUGGACCGGUAUUGACGCUGAGGCGCGAAAGCCAGGGGAGCAAACGGG